CCUACGGGUGGCAGCAGUGGGGAAUAUUGCACAAUGGGGGAAACCCUGAUGCAGCGACGCCGCGUGAGUGAAGAAGUCUUUCGGUAUGUAAAGCUCUAUCAGCAGGGAAGAAAAUGACGGUACCUGAUUAAGAAGUCCCUGCUAACUACGCGCCAGCAGCCGCGGUAAUACGUAGGGGGCAAGCGUUAUCCGGAUUGACUGGGUGUAAAGGGAGCGUAGACGGCAGCGCAAGUCUGGAGUGAAAUGCCGGGGCUUAACCCCGGAAUUGCUUUGGAAACUGGGCAACUAGAGUGCAGGAGAGGUAAGUGGAAUUCCUAGUGUAGCGGUGAAAUGCGUAGAUAUUAGGAGGAACACCAGUGGCGAAGGCGACUUUCUGGACUGUACCUGACGCUGAGGCGCGAAAGCGUGGGUAGCAAACGGGAUUAGAUACCCUAGUAGUC
RNAcentral lists this ribosomal RNA (440 nucleotides) under uncultured bacterium. Its description in RNAcentral is "partial 16S ribosomal RNA". It matches the Rfam family "Bacterial small subunit ribosomal RNA", at positions 338 to 795 of the family's 1533-position model. The record is from RNAcentral.